AAAUGAAGGAAGCAUGGUAAUGUGCACAAAGAUUGAAGGAAGCAUGCGUUUUUCGGUCAUCAUGUCUGCUUGCUUUGAUGCCUGUGGCCUUGAUCUGCAGGCCUGGAUCAGACCUACAUAU
This is a non-coding RNA of Thalictrum thalictroides, 121 nucleotides long. The record is from the annotation of a GenBank genome assembly. NCBI's taxonomy places the organism in Eukaryota, Viridiplantae, Streptophyta, Magnoliopsida, Ranunculales, Ranunculaceae.